AGUUAUUUUUCGUUAGAGGCUCUACUUCUUACCUGGAGGUAGAUAAGGGGACAUGACAUCUUCAGCCAUCAGAGAUGGUUGUUAUCUUCAAAACACACGAGUGAGGAUCCUUCAGCUCAGCUGUGAAGGCCUUUCCUAGCAAGCCCAGGGACGAGGGGUUCAUCACACACUAUAAAUAUAAAAAUGCUACAGCUCGAGGUGAACAUGAUCAAAGUGUGCUCCAAAGUGUAUAAAACCCUCUCCGUGGAGCCCACUGGAGUAUAAAGUCAGUCGUACUAAGAAUUAAAAAAUGGAAGAUAUAACACAUUUAGGCUCCUCUUGGUUCUAGUAUGACAAGCA
This 339-nucleotide long non-coding RNA is filed under the name Mus pahari (shrew mouse). RNAcentral's name for it is "lncRNA (MGP_PahariEiJ_G0006039.1)". Lineage: Eukaryota; Metazoa; Chordata; Mammalia; Rodentia; Muridae. The record is from RNAcentral.